GGUCAGGACGAACGCUGGCGGCGUGCCUAACACAUGCAAGUCGAGCGAGGAGAUUCCUUCGGGAUGAUCCUAGCGGCGGACGGGUGAGUAACACGUGGGCAACCUGCCUCAUAGAGAGGAAUAGCCUUCCGAAAGGGAGAUUAAUACCUCAUAACAUUGCAGUUUCGCAUGGAACAGCAAUUAAAGGAGCAAUCCACUAUGAGAUGGGCCCGCGGCGCAUUAGCUAGUUGGUGAGGUAACGGCUCACCAAGGCGACGAUGCGUAGCCGACCUGAGAGGGUGAUCGGCCACAUUGGGACUGAGACACGGCCCAGACUCCUACGGGAGGCAGCAGUGGGGAAUAUUGCACAAUGGGGGAAACCCUGAUGCCAGCAACGCCGCGUGAGUGAUGACGGCCUUCGGGUUGUAAAGCUCUGUCUUCAGGGACGAUAAUGACGGUACCUGAGGAGGAAGCCACGGCUAACUACGUGCCAGCCGCGGC
Molecule: ribosomal RNA, 480 nt
Filed under: uncultured bacterium
Lineage: Bacteria
Description: bacterial SSU rRNA
Rfam family: Bacterial small subunit ribosomal RNA
Source: RNAcentral